AACGAAUGCUGGCGGCAGGCCUAACACAUGCAAGUCGAACGCACCGCAAGGUGAGUGGCAGACGGGUGAGUAACACGUGGGAACAUGCCCUUCGGUUCGGAAUAACUCAGGGAAACUUGAGCUAAUACCGGAUACGUCCGCGAGGAGAAAGAUUCAUCGCCGAAGGAUUGGCCCGCGUCUGAUUAGCUAGUUGGUGAGGUAACGGCUCACCAAGGCGACGAUCAGUAGCUGGUCUGAGAGGAUGAUCAGCCACAUUGGGACUGAGACACGGCCCAAACUCCUACGGGAGGCAGCAGUGGGGAAUAUUGGACAAUGGGCGAAAGCCUGAUCCAGCCAUGCCGCGUGAGUGAUGAAGGCCCUAGGGUUGUAAAGCUCUUUUACCUGGGAAGAUAAUGACGGUACCAGGAGAAUAAGCCCCGGCUAACUUCGUGCCAGCAGCCGCGGUAAUACGAAGGGGGCUAGCGUUGUUCGGAAUCACUGGGCGUAAAGAGCACGUAGGCGGAUCUUUAAGUCAGGGGUGAGAUCCCGAGGCUCAACCUCGGAACUGCCUUUGAUACUGGGGAUCUCGAGUCCGGGAGAGGUGAGUGGAACUGCGAGUGUAGAGGUGAAAUUCGUAGAUAUUCGCAAGAACACCAGUGGCGAAGGCGGCUCACUGGCCCGGAACUGACGCUGAGGUGCGAAAGCGUGGGGAGCAAACAGG
RNAcentral lists this ribosomal RNA (700 nucleotides) under uncultured Beijerinckiaceae bacterium. Its description in RNAcentral is "bacterial SSU rRNA". It matches the Rfam family "Bacterial small subunit ribosomal RNA", at positions 28 to 776 of the family's 1533-position model. Lineage: Bacteria; Pseudomonadati; Pseudomonadota; Alphaproteobacteria; Hyphomicrobiales; Beijerinckiaceae. The record is from RNAcentral.